CAUCUUAGUACCCGGAGGAAGAGAAAGAAAAUUCGAUUCCCUUAGUAGCGGCGAGCGAAACGGGAAGAGCCCAAACCAAAAAGCUUGCUUGUUGGGGUUGUAGGACACUCUAUACGGAGUUACAAAGGACGACAUUAGACGAAUCAUCUGGAAAGAUGAAUCAAAGAAGGUAAUAAUCCUGUAGUCGAAAAUGUUGUCUCUCUUGAGUGGAUCCUGAGUACGACGGAGCACGUGAAAUUCCGUCGGAAUCUGGGAGGACCAUCUCCUAAGGCUAAAUACUCUCUAGUGACCGAUAGUGAACCAGUACCGUGAGGGAAAGGUGAAAAGCACCCCGGAAGGGGAGUGAAAUAGAACCUGAAACCGUGUGCUUACAAGUAGUCAGAGCCCGUUAAUGGGUGAUGGCGUGCCUUUUGUAGAAUGAACCGGCGAGUUACGAUUUGAUGCAAGGUUAAGCAGUAAAUGUGGAGCCGUAGCGAAAGCGAGUCUGAAUAGGGCGUUUAGUAUUUGGUCGUAGACCCGAAACCAGGUGAUCUACCCUUGGUCAGGUUGAAGUUCAGGUAACACUGAAUGGAGGACCGAACCGACUUACGUUGAAAAGUGAGCGGAUGAACUGAGGGUAGCGGAGAAAUUCCAAUCGAACCUGGAGAUAGCUGGUUCUCUCCGAAAUAGCUUUAGGGCUAGCCUCAAGUGAUGAUUAUUGGAGGUAGAGCACUGUUUGGACGAGGGGCCCCUCUCGGGUUACCGAAUUCAGACAAACUCCGAAUGCCAAUUAAUUUAACUUGGGAGUCAGAACAUGGGUGAUAAGGUCCGUGUUCGAAAGGGAAACAGCCCAGACCACCAGCUAAGGUCCCAAAAUAUAUGUUAAGUGGAAAAGGAUGUGGCGUUGCCCAGACAACUAGGAUGUUGGCUUAGAAGCAGCCAUCAUUUAAAGAGUGCGUAAUAGCUCACUAGUCGAGUGACACUGCGCCGAAAAUGUACCGGGGCUAAACAUAUUACCGAAGCUGUGGAUUGUCCUUUGGACAAUGGUAGGAGAGCGUUCUAAGGGCGUUGAAGCAUGAUCGUAAGGACAUGUGGAGCGCUUAGAAGUGAGAAUGCCGGUGUGAGUAGCGAAAGACGGGUGAGAAUCCCGUCCACCGAUUGACUAAGGUUUCCAGAGGAAGGCUCGUCCGCUCUGGGUUAGUCGGGUCCUAAGCUGAGGCCGACAGGCGUAGGCGAUGGAUAACAGGUUGAUAUUCCUGUACCACCUAUAAUCGUUUUAAUCGAUGGGGGGACGCAGUAGGAUAGGCGAAGCGUGCGAUUGGAUUGCACGUCUAAGCAGUAAGGCUGAGUAUUAGGCAAAUCCGGUACUCGUUAAGGCU
Molecule: ribosomal RNA, 1358 nt
Filed under: Staphylococcus aureus
Lineage: Bacteria; Bacillati; Bacillota; Bacilli; Caryophanales; Staphylococcaceae
Description: partial 23S ribosomal RNA
Rfam family: Bacterial large subunit ribosomal RNA
Source: RNAcentral